RNAcentral lists this long non-coding RNA (1347 nucleotides) under Malus domestica (apple). Its description in RNAcentral is "long non-coding RNA (MDOM_LNC009680)". The record is from RNAcentral. Lineage: Eukaryota; Viridiplantae; Streptophyta; Magnoliopsida; Rosales; Rosaceae.
GUAAGGUGUUGAUUUGUGGAUGUGCGAUUGAUCCAAAGGGCCGUUGGGCUUGAUCUAAGGAUGAACGUUCUUCAAAGGCCGUGGACUUGAUCUUGAAGGUGGAUUUGAGCGGAUCUUCAAGGGGCUUUUGGGCUUGAUCUUUGAAGAACAGUGAUGAACGGAUCUCCAAGGGCUUUUGGGCUUGAUCUUGAAGAACGGUUGGACGUGUGGAUUUGUUGAUGUUGUUGAUCCAAGGGGCCGUCGGGGCUUGAUCUUGGAAGAACGAUGAACGAAGAACGAAGAACGAAGAACACUUUCUUCAAGGGCCGUCGAGGCUUGAUCUUGAAUCGGUGGAUUGUUGAUCCAAGGGGCCAUCGGGGCUUGAUCUUGAAUUACGAUGAACGAAGAACGAAGAAGGCUUUCUUGAUUCUUCGGGAAUCUGGAUGCUCGAGAGCUUCGGAGUUUCAGAGCUUCAGAGCUUCAAGGUGUAAUAUGAAUUCCUCCUCCCAAAUGAAAUGAAAUUGGCUUUUAUUUAUAGAAUUUUUCAAGGCCUAAUUUUGAAUAUAAUAUUCCAGAUGAAAUAAGUCGUUUCUGCCAUGUGUUGACACGUGUCUUGUUUGAUGACUUUUCCGACUCAUUUCAAUUUUUUGUCGAGUCAUAUGCUACGUGUAAAAUUUAUGUAAUAUAUGAGCGUUGAAACUUUGAUUUAUCGGUCAACAUUUAUUUACCAAAAUUUCGAUGUCUACAAAUGCCCCCACUUCAAGGCGCGUCGUAUACAUGUGCUUGUCACGUGUAGGAGAUGCGUUUUGAAGUUCCUUAAUGUAGAUGUCGAUCCAAGGGCCAUCGAGGCUUGAUCUUGAAUUGGGCUGGAGAUUUCUUCAAGGCCCGUUGAGGCUUGUUCUUGGACUUUGUUUGAAAUUUCUUUAAGGGCCGUCGAGGCUUGAUCUUGAAGGUUGAAAUUGGACCAUAAGGAGCUUCAUGUGGUAGAUGAUCUUUGGCUUUGGUAAUGGAUGAAUCGGCACGUAUUUGUUUUUGCGCUUUGUUGACUUUCCACAGCUUUGAUCUUGAACUGGGUUGGAGGAUUUUCUAGAUUCCUCCAAUUGUUGAUUUUCCACAGCUUAUUCUUGAACUAGGUUGGAGGAUUUUCUGGUUUCCUUCAAUUGUUGACUUUCCACAGCUUAUUCUUGAACUGGAUUUGAUUCAAGAGUGGUAGACACUUGAUCUUGAAUCGGACUUGUGAUUUCCUCAAAGGCCGUCAAGGCUUGAUCUUGGAUUUGGCUGGAAGCUUCUUCAAGGGCCGUUAAGGCUUGAUUCUUGAAGGUUGACUCGAACACAUGGCAAGCAGGCACGAGGUGAAGGUGACAACUU